Molecule: long non-coding RNA, 1073 nt
Filed under: Salvia miltiorrhiza (redroot sage)
Lineage: Eukaryota; Viridiplantae; Streptophyta; Magnoliopsida; Lamiales; Lamiaceae
Description: long non-coding RNA (SMIL_LNC010322)
Source: RNAcentral
AAUAAUCUAUAUAUUAUAUAAAACACCAGUUUAACGGCAAAAUUUUAGCGCCAUAUUUUAUCUCUCACACGUUCUCUCUAAUUCUUAUUAAGCACGAUUGGAUUCUUUUCUCCCACAACUCAACAUCUGAAACUCUUUUCAUCAACUCUUCUAUUUCGGAUUCCAUAACCGCUUCUCGCCGAUCCAUUGCUCACCAAACUUAAUCGAAGAUUCGGCCGUCGUUUCUCGGUUCUUCAACUGUCGCCCUAGCGCCACCGCCUCAUACCAACAUUGCCCAAAAUGGUAAAAGCAAAACCAAUUAGUUUCUUCAUCUCUCUCUCUGUUUCUAUUCUUUAUGAUUUGAUUCUUCUCCCAUGAUUUUAAAGAAAAAUUCCCAAUUUCUGAAACCCCUUUCGUCAACUUUUUUCCAGAUUCCGUAACCGCUCCUCGCUGUUCCAUCGCUCACCAAACUCAAUCGAAAACUCGGUCGCCAUUUCUCGGUCGUCAGUCGCUGCCCUAACGCCGCCGCCUCAGACCAACGUCGCCCAAAAUGGUAAAAGCAAAACCAAUCAGUUUCUUCCUCUCUCUCUCUCUCGCUCGCUCUCUUUCUCUUGUUUCUAUUCUUAAUCUUCUUAUUCAACAUUAUUUAGAAUUCACAUGUGAGUGUGUGUCUGUACAGACAUUGAGGGCCACUGCAUCAGAAAUUAGAGAAGUGUUUCUAAAAGUGCUGGUACUAAUUUCAAUUUCAAUAUUUUCGUGUGUUAAUUAAAAUUUAAAUUGAAAUUUUGAAAUUGGGUUUUUAAAAUCAAGAUCAGAUUUUGGUUUGAAAACAACCAACAUCAAACAUGGUGGUUCAAUGUUUAUCAUCUUGAAAUACUGCAACGUAGAACUUCGGCCGAUGCAGCCCUCCAUGUGUGGCGGAUUCGCCGAUUGUAAGGGUGCCAUGUUCGUGUAUUUCUCUGGUGCAGUGGCAGCUAUGGUUCAAGGAUUAUAUUAUCUCUUUUAUUUUAGUGCUCUUUUUAGUGGUGUUUCACUCUUCACACAUAACUGUUGGACUAAUGUUUUAAUGAUUUUAGAACAUAAAGUUGAAAGAA